RNAcentral lists this long non-coding RNA (288 nucleotides) under Ananas comosus (pineapple). Its description in RNAcentral is "long non-coding RNA (ACOM_LNC016964)". Lineage: Eukaryota; Viridiplantae; Streptophyta; Magnoliopsida; Poales; Bromeliaceae. The record is from RNAcentral.
UACCCUUAUUAUAUUCAUAAUAAUAUAAAUUAACUUUUCAACGGCUUCUACUGCAAAUGACAAAGAACUUGAUAGCUGGUAUCCGAGAUCUCAAGUUCAAAUCCUAGCUUAUUCAUAGUUAUUUUAAUCUCCAAAUGAAAUAGACGAAGCGGGUCUAAAAUAUAUAUAUAUUAAAUAAUUUUUGAUAAAAGUAUGAAGAUUUUUUUUUUUUGUUUAUUAAGAUUUAAAUUUUAUUAGAAAAUAAUUUAGUGAUUUUUUUUUAUUUUUGAAUUAGACGCAAAGAAAAUC